Molecule: transfer RNA, 87 nt
Filed under: Nitrospira bacterium SM23_35
Lineage: Bacteria; Pseudomonadati; Nitrospirota; Nitrospiria
Also listed under: 1 other name
Description: tRNA-Leu
Rfam family: tRNA
About the family: Transfer RNA (tRNA) molecules are approximately 80 nucleotides in length. Their secondary structure includes four short double-helical elements and three loops (D, anti-codon, and T loops).
Source: RNAcentral
GCCGGUGUGGUGGAAUUGGCAGACGCGCCGGACUCAAAAUCCGGUGGGGGCAACUCCGUGCGGGUUCGACUCCCGCCACCGGCACCA